This 640-nucleotide ribosomal RNA is filed under the name Streptomyces sp. 507. Its description in RNAcentral is "bacterial SSU rRNA". It matches the Rfam family "Bacterial small subunit ribosomal RNA", at positions 76 to 734 of the family's 1533-position model. The record is from RNAcentral. Lineage: Bacteria; Bacillati; Actinomycetota; Actinomycetes; Kitasatosporales; Streptomycetaceae.
CACUUCGGUGGGGUUAGUGGCGAACGGGUGAGUAACACGUGGGCAAUCUGCCCUGCACUCUGGGACAAGCCCUGGAAACGGGGUCUAAUACCGGAUACUGACCACUACGGGCAUCUGUGGUGGUCGAAAGCUCCGGCGGUGCAGGAUGAGCCCGCGGCCUAUCAGCUUGUUGGUGAGGUAACGGCUCACCAAGGCGACGACGGGUAGCCGGCCUGAGAGGGCGACCGGCCACACUGGGACUGAGACACGGCCCAGACUCCUACGGGAGGCAGCAGUGGGGAAUAUUGCACAAUGGGCGAAAGCCUGAUGCAGCGACGCCGCGUGAGGGAUGACGGCCUUCGGGUUGUAAACCUCUUUCAGCAGGGAAGAAGCGAAAGUGACGGUACCUGCAGAAGAAGCGCCGGCUAACUACGUGCCAGCAGCCGCGGUAAUACGUAGGGCGCAAGGCUUGUCCGGAAUUAUUGGGCGUAAAGAGCUCGUAGGCGGCUUGUCACGUCGGUUGUGAAAGCCCGGGGCUUAACCCCGGUCUGCAGUCGAUACGGGCAGGCUAGAGUUCGGUAGGGGAGAUCGGAAUUCCUGGUGUAGCGGUGAAAUGCGCAGAUAUCAGGAGGAACACCGGUGGCGAAGCGGAUCUCUGGCC